Molecule: unclassified non-coding RNA, 294 nt
Filed under: plant metagenome
Description: partial contains small subunit ribosomal RNA, internal transcribed spacer 1, and 5.8S ribosomal RNA
Rfam family: Eukaryotic small subunit ribosomal RNA (bases 1-54)
Source: RNAcentral
GGAAGUAAAAGUCAUAACAAGGUUUCCGUAGGUGAACCUGCGGAAGGAUCAUUAAUGAGUUGUCAUGGGGUUCGAUGCUGGCAGCCAGUUUUUGGAUGCAUGUGCUUGCCCUAACAAUCAUCUUCUUCCAAACACCUGUGCACAUUUUUGAGGGAGUCUUGAGUUGGUUGCCGCUCUUGGGUGAUUUUCUCACAUUCCCUUAAAUCAUUAUACGCUAUUAACAAUGUUGAACGUGCUCUGUGCCGCAAGGCCAUUAAUAUAAUACAACUUUUAACAACGGAUCUCUUGGCUCUC